This 497-nucleotide ribosomal RNA is filed under the name uncultured bacterium. Its description in RNAcentral is "partial 16S ribosomal RNA". It matches the Rfam family "Bacterial small subunit ribosomal RNA", at positions 28 to 507 of the family's 1533-position model. The record is from RNAcentral.
GAUGAACGCUGGCGGCGUGCCUAAUACAUGCAAGUCGAGCGAACAGACGAGGAGCUUGCUCCUCUGACGUUAGCGGCGGACGGGUGAGUAACACGUGGAUAACCUACCUAUAAGACUGGGAUAACUUCGGGAAACCGGAGCUAAUACCGGAUAAUAUAUUGAACCGCAUGGUUCAAUAGUGAAAGACGGUUUUGCUGUCACUUAUAGUUGGAUCCGCGCCGCAUUAGCUAGUUGGUAAGGUAACGGCUUACCAAGGCGACGAUGCGUAGCCGACCUGAGAGGGUGAUCGGCCACACUGGAACUGAGACACGGUCCAGACUCCUACGGGAGGCAGCAGUAGGGAAUCUUCCGCAAUGGGCGAAAGCCUGACGGAGCGACGCCGCGUGAGUGAUGAAGGUCUUCGGAUCGUAAAACUCUGUUAUUAGGGAAGAACAAAUGUGUAAGUAACUAUGCACGUCUUGACGGUACCUAAUCAGAAAGCCACGGCUAACUACGUG